AGGGGAGUUUGAUCCUGGCUCAGGACGAACGUUGGCGGUGCGCUUAAUGCAUGCAAGUCGAGGGAGAAGCAUUUGUUCCGUAAGGUUCAGAUGUGGAAACCGGCGAACGGGUGCGUAACACGUGAGAAACCUGCCCCCUUGACCGGGAUAGCCCGAGGAAACUCGGAUUAAUACCGGAUACUCUCUUUGGACCGCAUGGUCCGCUGAGGAAACAGUCCGCUGCUAGGGGAUGGUCUCGCGGCCUAUCAGGUAGUUGGUGAGGUAACGGCUCACCAAGCCUAAGACGGGUAGCUGGUCUGAGAGGACGAUCAGCCACACUGGAACUGAGACACGGUCCAGACUCCUACGGGAGGCAGCAGCAGGGAAUAUUGCACAAUGGGCGAAAGCCUGAUGCAGCGACACCGCGUGCGGGAUGACGGCCUUAGGGUUGUAAACCGCUUUCAGGAGGGAAGAAAAUGACGGUACCUCCAGAAGAAGCUCCGGCCAACUACGUGCCAGCAGCCGCGGUAAUACGUAGGGAGCAAACGUUGUCCGGAUUUAUUGGGCGUAAAGGGCUCGUAGGCGGUUCAACAAGUCGAUCGUGAAAGCCCGGGGCUCAACCCCGGGAGGCCGGUCGAAACUGUUGUGACUAGAGUUCGGUAGAGGUGAGUGGAAUUCUCGGUGUAGCGGUGGAAUGCGCAGAUAUCGAGAGGAACACCA
Molecule: ribosomal RNA, 699 nt
Filed under: uncultured bacterium
Lineage: Bacteria
Description: bacterial SSU rRNA
Rfam family: Bacterial small subunit ribosomal RNA
Source: RNAcentral